GACGAACGCUGGCGGCGUGCUUAACACAUGCAAGUCGAACGGAAAGGCCCUUCGGGGUACUCGAGUGGCGAACGGGUGCGUAACACGUGGGUGAUCUGCCCUGCACUUUGGGAUAAGCCUGGGAAACUGGGUCUAAUACCGAAUAGGACCACGCGCUUCAUGGUGUGUGGUGGAAAGCUUUUGCGGUGUGGGAUGGGCCCGCGGCCUAUCAGCUUGUUGGUGGGGUAAUGGCCUACCAAGGCGACGACGGGUAGCCGGCCUGAGAGGGUGACCGGCCACACUGGGACUGAGAUACGGCCCAGACUCCUACGGGAGGCAGCAGUGGGGAAUAUUGCACAAUGGGCGCAAGCCUGAUGCAGCGACGCCGCGUGCGGGAUGACGGCCUUCGGGUUGUAAACCUCUUUCAAUAGGGACGAAGCGCAAGUGACGGUACCUAUAGAAGAAGCACCGGCCAACUACGUG
This 462-nucleotide ribosomal RNA is filed under the name uncultured bacterium. Its description in RNAcentral is "partial 16S ribosomal RNA". It matches the Rfam family "Bacterial small subunit ribosomal RNA", at positions 28 to 507 of the family's 1533-position model. The record is from RNAcentral.